UCUACAGUCUGACGAGUGAAGAAAAUAAUGAUAGACGAGAUGCCUGGUGGCAAAAUGCUUUUGUUCCUGUUUCCAUCAGUGCAUAAGGGCGCCGACCUGCUUUAGCAUUCUUUAAAGGUCUCUUUACCAAGGAAAAUUGAAGACGGUCUCAUUAUAGGAGAGUGUGUUCGGAAUACUAUGAGGUAUUUAUGAAUUCAGAGGUGAUUGUUGGAUCUCAGACAUUUCAAUUACGCAUCCUGUAGUAAAAAAAAAAAAAAAAAAUAAUAAUUUAUUUGUAGCGAUGUGUUCUGUAAUCUGUUAUUUCCAUAAAGCUGAUCUGUGCUCGAGCUCCGGAGCUGGCCGAGGGAAUGGGUCCAUCCACGGGGCUCGAUUUGUGUUCUUUGCCUCGCAAAACUUUCUGCUGCAGGGGCAGCCCGAAGUUCCCGUAGAAGCGAUUGUUUGGGAAACGUCAGCUAUCCUCAGUAUUUUUCUGGAAAAUAUGGCGUGGUGAAUGAAGGGUGGUAUUUUUAGAAAGGAGCUUUUUAUUUUUGGAGGCAUUUGUGAAGCCCACCUGUUAACCAUUAGCGGGGACAGAGGUUGGCUUUCAUCGUUCGCAAACCCGGGCGCAUCUGGGGGCUGCGGCCGUUACUCGCUUGAUCCAAGCUCUUUCCAGUCAUGGACAAAUCAAAGUGUCUUUCCCUUUAAAAGUCAUAACCAAGUAUUUCUAAAGCUGAACAGAAAGUAAGGUAGUUUAGUCAGAGUGGUGGCACUCUCCUGUGUUUUGGAGCGUGGUUGCAGGAGCAUUUGACUUUUCCUUUUCCCCUUGGAAUUUCAGACUGAGAUGCUUCCAUGGUCCAGAGUUUUAUUGUCAACUUUAUAGCAUACAAAUCAUAGAUGAUGUUUUCUUGCCAUCAGCCUUCCCUCUUUUUAAGGUAGUUUUCUCCUCGCCAGCCCAUGUGGGAUCCCGGGGCUGGGCUGGCAGGGCAGCUCCAGACGCCCCGCAGAGCUUCUGCCCCACAGCCCACUUUGCUGACAGCUCCCUCUCAUCCCCCUUGCUUUUCCAAGGGCAAAGUUGUGCCCUUUUCCACUCCAGCUUUUCCUAGAUUCAAAGGAAUGUCCUCAUAGCAAGAACUAUAGCAGAGCCUGUCAUCUUUAACGCCAGCAUUUCAGUGCAGAGAUUUGUUACUGGGGUCUGGUGGUAAUAUUCCUUGUAUCAGGAAAAACAUCACCCUCAAAGUAUGAGGUCCCAGGCACGAGCUGGAAGUGGUGUACCGAAGCCUUUGGCCGGGAAAGUUGAUUUAUCCAUCAGGCUGGCUGCAGUUCAAAUAAAACUUCUUCAGUUCAGCUGACUCUGGCAAGAAUGAAAUACCCUAAUGAAAAAACACCCUGAAUCUGGGUUUUCCCAACCAUUUGGAAAAGGUAGGUUAAUUUUCCCUGGGUUUUUUUGGGGCUGUUUACUAGCUAUGGGAAUUGAAAGUGGCUUCGUGUUUAAGUGGAAGAAAUGGAAAAGCUUCUCGGAACACAGCACUGGCAAUUUGCAAGUGUUUUGUUAAGAUCUGGUGGAUGAUGCUGUCUCAUAAAACCUGAUGGGUGUCACAUUUACUCCUCACAUCAGAUCUAGUGUGAGUAUUCCUGCCUUUGCUCUAUAUUCUCGGUGUAGUAAGUUAGAGAAGUAGAGUGUGGAGCUGCUGGUGAGCAGCUCUUAAAUCUGGGCUGAUUGCUUACACCUGCCCCAGAGGUUGGGGGUUUUGAGCCCCCCCCAUCCCAGCUGUUAAGGAUAUUCCAAUUAUAGGCUCUGACAGGAGAAAUGGCAUCAGGGCUCACAGGUGAAUUAGAAGACUGUGUGUGGGUGGUGCAAGGUGAUUGUUGGUUCCCUCUUACAGGGAGCACUCAAACUUUGAAGGGAAAGUUUUAGCAAGUCCUCGCUGGUUUCUCUCUGGUUGCUGGGAUAAAACAAUUGUUUUAGCCAGGAAUUGAUUGGUGUUUUCUCUACUGC
Lepidothrix coronata (blue-crowned manakin) is the source of this 1975-nucleotide long non-coding RNA. RefSeq lists it as uncharacterized. The record is from RefSeq and is a predicted model, not a curated record. The transcript has 3 exons. Lineage: Eukaryota; Metazoa; Chordata; Aves; Passeriformes; Pipridae.